Molecule: long non-coding RNA, 221 nt
Filed under: Elaeis guineensis (African oil palm)
Lineage: Eukaryota; Viridiplantae; Streptophyta; Magnoliopsida; Arecales; Arecaceae
Description: long non-coding RNA (EGUI_LNC081404)
Source: RNAcentral
GAGUGGAUGUAGGUGCAAGGUUAGCACCGAACCACUAUAAAUCCUUGUGUUUGUGGUGUGCUUUAUCGCUUCACUUUAUUUCUUUAUUAUAUUCUUGCAUUCCUAUUUUAGGUAAUUAAUAUUGAAUUAAAGUCUUUGUUUUGUUCUUCAUAAGUAAUCAGUUGGGGCUUAAAAUUUUUAGAAACCCAAUUCACCCCCCCUCUUGGGUUGCAUAGCUGGGC